GAAUAUGAAGUGAUUCGAUUACAAUUAGUUUCGACCUAAUCUUAGGUAUUUUUACCCUUAUUCU
Molecule: transfer RNA, 64 nt
Filed under: Platypalpus agilis
Lineage: Eukaryota; Metazoa; Arthropoda; Insecta; Diptera; Hybotidae
Description: tRNA-Arg
Source: RNAcentral